AGUGAACGCUGGCGGUAGGCCUAACACAUGCAAGUCGAACGGCAGCACAGUAAGAGCUUGCUCUUACGGGUGGCGAGUGGCGGACGGGUGAGGAAUACAUCGGAAUCUACUUUUUCGUGGGGGAUAACGUAGGGAAACUUACGCUAAUACCGCAUACGACCUACGGGUGAAAGCAGUGGAUCUUCGGACCUUGCGCGAUUGAAUGAGCCGAUGUCGGAUUAGCUAGUUGGCGGGGUAAAGGCCCACCAAGGCGACGAUCCGCAGCUGGUCUGAGAGGAUGAUAAGCCACACUGGAACUGAGACACGGUCCAGACUCCUACGGGAGGCAGCAGUGGGGAAUAUUGGACAAUGGGCGCAAGCCUGAUCCAGCCAUACCGCGUGGGUGAAGAAGGCCUUCGGGUUGUAAAGCCCUUUUGUUGGGAAAGAAAAGCAGCAGGUUAAUACCCCGCUGUUCUGACGGUACCCAAAGAAUAAGCACCGGCUAACUUCGUG
RNAcentral lists this ribosomal RNA (492 nucleotides) under uncultured bacterium. RNAcentral describes it as "partial 16S ribosomal RNA". It matches the Rfam family "Bacterial small subunit ribosomal RNA", at positions 29 to 507 of the family's 1533-position model. The record is from RNAcentral.